Long non-coding RNA from Aegilops tauschii subsp. strangulata, 2017 nucleotides. RefSeq lists it as uncharacterized. The record is from RefSeq and is a predicted model, not a curated record. NCBI's taxonomy places the organism in Eukaryota, Viridiplantae, Streptophyta, Magnoliopsida, Poales, Poaceae.
UGACGGGUGACUCUAAGGUCUAUAUCCUCAACAAUAACCAUUUUAUUAUUGCCUCUAGAGCAUAUUUCCAACAAACCAUACAUGGUGAACUUGUAUUGACUUGUUCUUUGUCACAAAGCCAUAUAUCACACGAAACUCAAUUGCGCAUAUGUGAUAAGGAUAUCUAGCGAUAUCUUUUUCUUGCUCGGCAUAAUACUUGUGUUAUUGUUUUUUUAGUGUCUAGAAUAUAUAGACUAUUUAGGAAGUAGUUCCAAAUAUGAAAAAUGGAGGCGGUAAAUGAACUUUUACUCAGCAGCAAUGGACAUAAAACUCAAAACUUGUGAGCUACUCGGCUCGCCUCGGGCCAAACUUGUUUUCUUAACGAGUCGAGCUAGCUCUCGUUUUCCAUUUGUUAAGAUAAACGAGCCUAACAAGCUGGUUACCUCAAGUUACUCGUGAGGUUGGUUAAUUAAGAUUGUAUUUAACUACUCCCUGACAGUUCAGACAUCGUCCAAAAUAGUUCAAUAUCAGCUGUCUAAAACUUCAUACAAAAAAGAAUGGAGGGAGUAGUAUUUAUCAACAUGCGUGCACACACACAUACACACAUAUUAGCAGGGUACUUAAGUCUUGCAAUCAGUGCUUGUAGUCGUCGCUGGGUGGUCUGCGGAUCUGGAUGUAAUUUUUAUUUCUGGUGUUCGUUGUACUACCAUGAUUGAAGAUGAAUAGAUUAGAAGUUUUUCCGAAAAAAAAAAACUGAGCAGAAAGUCAAACUCAACAUCUUACAUUCUUAAGAAGUUGCUUCCCACUACUACAAAUUCUUUCAACAUGCAAGCUGUCCACGUCAGCAUCCAUUCCCGUGCGGCCACGUCAGCACUAAUCCUCCACCGUACCCAUGGUUUUCCAUCGCUAAUCCCUCUUCUUUUUUUGACAGCACCAUCGCUAAUCCCUCUUAACUCAGCGCGGGCUGGGCUGUACGAAGCCACAAAUGAAGCGUCACCUCAUUGUUUCUUUUCGUUUCCAAAAGUAACAGCCGAAUCACACCUACCGGCAACCGUGGAAGUCGGAAGACCAGCCGUCCUCGCCACCCCAUCCUCAUAAAAUCUGCAGAGCCGCCGAGCCGGAGAUACGACAGGCAGUGAGCGCACAUCCAGGAGCGGCGCCACCGGCUGAUCCAACUUAAGGGGUGCCCGGUGAUCCUUCCCUUGUGUGGUUCGAGAUGGGGCCGCCGCCUUCUCCCGUCGCAUGGUCCAGGUCUGACGGGGAGGGCACAUAGCCGGUGCCCAUCCAGGAGCGGCGACGCCAGCUGCUCCGGUGACACCCUUCUCCCGUGUGAUUCGAGAUGGGGUCGUCAGGUUCUCCCGUCGCACGGUCCAGAUCUGACGGGGCCACAUCGGCCUCCACGGCAAAGCCUCGGACUGGAGGCGUCCACCAGUUCAUGGUGAGGUAGGAGUUCGAGCUCCACAAGGCUGGUAUAGAGCGAAAGCUUACUGUGAAGCAGUUCAAGCUAUUCAUCAGCCGCUCCCCCAGUCUCAUUCCCUUCACGGACACUGUUCUCUGUCGGUUCCCCAACAGAGUGCCAACUAGCAUCAAGGUCCUCCAGCUUCUACGUACUCUUUCAUCGGUUCCUCAGUUGCUGGCCGACCAACACCAAGGUCGCAGGGUUACUACAAGCAACAAUAAUUCCUUGUGAUUUAUGGAAUGUUGAUAAAAUUUCCGUAUGAAAUUGUGUAGAGCAACUGGGCUCAUUGUUGUGAUCUACCAUCGUCAACGACAUUGAUAUUUCACACCCAUCUCAAUCUGGUGCCGCCUGUGUUGGCCAUGAUACAUCUGCAGCCCUUGAAGUCGUGUUUGCUCUCUGUGCUAGGCUGCAGUCUUUCUUGAUACGUCCGUUUAUUCUGCCCCGCUCAUCCAGGUUUCUAUUGAAGAGGAACGAGUGUAUAGCCUACAGGUGGUUCUUCAAUCCAAUGAUUUUCCUCAUAUGUUUCUAAGACAAAUAGUCACUAUUUUCUGUUAUACCUAUGGAUUUUAAUUUCUGUUA